UCUUGUUCUUGGUGCUGGAACUCUGCCAUUUGGAACCCUCUUUAUUGAACUCUUCUUCAUCCUCUCUAGUAUUUGGCUUGGAAGAUUCUACUAUGUUUUCGGUUUUCUGCUUAUAGUCCUCCUCCUGUUGGUUACUGUUUGUGCUGAAGUUUCAGUUGUGCUCACUUAUAUGCACCUUUGUGUGGAGGAUUGGAUGUGGUGGUGGAAAGCAUUCUAUGCAUCAGGUUCUGUUUCUCUAUAUGUGUUCCUCUACUCCAUCAACUACUUGGUUUUUGACCUUCAGAGCUUAAGUGGCCCAGUAUCAGCUAUACUUUACCUUGGCUACUCUUUGAUAAUGGCAGUAGCGAUCAUGCUUUCAACUGGCACGAUUGGCUUCCUCACAUCAUUUUACUUUGUGCAUUAUCUUUUUGCAUCAGUGAAGAUUGACUGAACAGGUGUGCAGAGCCGCAAUUAUUAUUGUUUAGAUGGCUAAAGAAAGACCUGUUGUGCAUUGUGGAACUUUACAUAGUCCUACCAGAAAGAGUAUCUAAAAUUGCAGAUGAGGGACGUUUGUACUUUUCUAUUUUACUGUAAUGUUCUGAGGCUAGAUAAUUUGUUAGUCCAAAAGCUAUUGUUUAGUAUUUUCAUCUUUCAUUGUGUUUUAAUUACAUUUUCCCCAUAUUUCUUGUAUCUUUACAACCUCUACUUUCAAUGGGAAAAUUACCAGAAAACUCAUUGUAGCUUUGAAAUUGAAAAGAAAGAUAGGUUUAAGGUGGUUUUGUUAUGCUGGAAUUUGGUUCUUUCAG
This 785-nucleotide unclassified non-coding RNA is filed under the name Hevea brasiliensis (rubber tree). Lineage: Eukaryota; Viridiplantae; Streptophyta; Magnoliopsida; Malpighiales; Euphorbiaceae. The record is from RNAcentral.